This 506-nucleotide ribosomal RNA is filed under the name uncultured bacterium. RNAcentral describes it as "partial 16S ribosomal RNA". It matches the Rfam family "Bacterial small subunit ribosomal RNA", at positions 29 to 523 of the family's 1533-position model. The record is from RNAcentral.
AGCGAACGCUGGCGGUAGGCCUAACACAUGCAAGUCGAACGGCAGCACAGGAGAGCUUGCUCUCUGGGUGGCGAGUGGCGGACGGGUGAGGAAUACAUCGGAAUCUACUCUGUCGUGGGGGAUAACGUAGGGAAACUUACGCUAAUACCGCAUACGACCUACGGGUGAAAGCAGGGGAUCUUCGGACCUUGCGCGAUUGAAUGAGCCGAUGUCGGAUUAGCUAGUUGGCGGGGUAAAGGCCCACCAAGGCGACGAUCCGUAGCUGGUCUGAGAGGAUGAUCAGCCACACUGGAACUGAGACACGGUCCAGACUCCUACGGGAGGCAGCAGUGGGGAAUAUUGGACAAUGGGCGCAAGCCUGAUCCAGCCAUACCGCGUGGGUGAAGAAGGCCUUCGGGUUGUAAAGCCCUUUUGUUGGGAAAGAAAUCCAGCUGGCUAAUACCCGGUAGGGAUGACGGUACCCAAAGAAUAAGCACCGGCUAACUUCGUGCCAGCCGCCGCCGUAA